Molecule: ribosomal RNA, 994 nt
Filed under: Drechslerella dactyloides
Lineage: Eukaryota; Fungi; Ascomycota; Orbiliomycetes; Orbiliales; Orbiliaceae
Description: partial large subunit ribosomal RNA
Rfam family: Eukaryotic large subunit ribosomal RNA
Source: RNAcentral
GGAAAAGAACAACAGGGAUUGCCUCAGUAACGGCGAGUGAAGCGGCAAUAGCUCAAAUUUGAAAUCUGGAGCCUUCGGCUUCCGAGUUGUAAUUUGAAGAGGAUGUUUCGGUUGCGGCCACGGCCCAGUUCCUUGGAACAGGACGUCAUGGAGGGUGAGAAUCCCGUACCUGGCUGUUGGCUUGCUUCCGUGUGAAACUCCUUCGAAGAGUCGAGUUGUUUGGGAAUGCAGCUCAAAAUGGGUGGUAAAUUUCACUAAAGCUAAAUAUUGGCGGGAGACCGAUAGCGCACAAGUAGAGUGAUCGAAAGAUGAAAAGCACUUUGAAAAGAGAGUUAAACAGUACGUGAAAUUGUUGAAAGGGAAGCGCUUGCAAUCAGACUCCUUUCGGUUGAUCAACGUUCCUUCUGGUUCGUGCACUCUGCCGUUUGCGGGCCAGCAUCAGCUGGGGCGGUGGGACAAAGACUUCAGGAAUGUGGCUCUCUUCGGGGAGUGUUAUAGCCUGUUGUGCAUGCCACCAGUCCCGGCUGAGGUCCGCGGUUUAUCCUAGGAUGCUGGCUUAAUGGUUGUAAGCGACCCGUCUUGAAACACGGACCAAGGAGUCUAACAUCUAUGCGAGUCUUUGGGUGUCAAACCCAGGGCGUAAUGAAAGUGAACGGAGGUGGGAGUCCUCGGAUGCACCAUCGACCGAUCCUGAUGUUCUCGGAUGGAUUUGAGUAGGAGCAUAGCUGUUGGGACCCGAAAGAUGGUGAACUAUGCCUGAAUGGGUGAAGCCAGAGGAAACUCUGGUGGAGGCUCGCAGCGGUUCUGACGUGCAAAUCGAUCGUCAAAUUUGGGUAUAGGGGCGAAAGACUAAUCGAACCAUCUAGUAGCUGGUUCCUGCCGAAGUUUCCUCAGGAUAGCAGUAACGUUUUCAGUUUUAUGAGGUAAAGCGAAUGAUUAGAGGCCUUGUGGUUGAAACAACCUUAACCUAUUCUCAAACUUUAAUAUGUAAGAA